UACGAAGGGGGCUAGCGUUGCUCGGAAUCACUGGGCGUAAAGCGCACGUAGGCGGAUUGCUAAGUCAGGGGUGAAAUCCUGGAGCUCAACUCCAGAACUGCCCUUGAUACUGGCGGUCUCGAGUCCGGAAGAGGCGAGUGGAAUUCCUGGUGUAGCGGUGAAAUGCGCAGAUAUCAGGAGGAACACCGAUGGCGAAGGCAGCCCCCUGGGUCGACACUGACGCUCAGGCACGAAAGCGUGGGGAGCAAACAGG
This 253-nucleotide ribosomal RNA is filed under the name uncultured bacterium. RNAcentral's name for it is "partial 16S ribosomal RNA". It matches the Rfam family "Bacterial small subunit ribosomal RNA", at positions 524 to 776 of the family's 1533-position model. The record is from RNAcentral.